CCUACGGGAGGCAGCAGUGGGGAAUAUUUCACAAUGGGCGCAAGCCUGAUGUAGCCAUGCCGCGUGUAUGAAGAAGGCCUUCGGGUUGUAAAGUACUUUCAGCGGGGAGGAAGGGAGUAAAGUUAAUACCUUUGCUCAUUGACGUUACCCGCAGAAGAAGCACCGGCUAACUCCGUGCCAGCAGCCGCGGUAAUACGGAGGGUGCAAGCGUUAAUCGGAAUUACUGGGCGUAAGGCGCACGCAGGCGGUUUGUUAAGUCAGAUGUGAAAUCCCCGGGCUCAACCUGGGAACUGCAUCUGAUACUGGCAAGCUUGAGUCUCGUAGAGGGGGGUAGAAUUCCAGGUGUAGCAGUGAAAUGCGUAGAGAUCUGGAGGAAUACCGGUGGCGAAGGCGGCCUGCUGGACAUUAACUGACGCUGAGGCGCGAAAGCGUGGGGAGCAAACAGGAUUAGAUACCCGGGUAGUC
Molecule: ribosomal RNA, 465 nt
Filed under: uncultured bacterium
Lineage: Bacteria
Description: partial 16S ribosomal RNA
Rfam family: Bacterial small subunit ribosomal RNA
Source: RNAcentral